UACAGAGGGUGCAAGCGUUGUUCGGAAUUAUUGGGCGUAAAGGGUGCGUAGGCGGUCGCGCAAGUCGGAUGUGAAAUCUCAGGGCUCAACCCUGAAACUGCAUUCGAUACUGCGUGGCUAGAGUGCUGGAGAGGAGACUGGAAUUUACGGUGUAGCAGUGAAAUGCGUAGAUAUCGUAAGGAAGACCAGUGGCGAAGGCGAGUCUCUGGACAGCAACUGACGCUGAGGAGCGAAAGCCAGGGGAGCAAACGGG
Molecule: ribosomal RNA, 253 nt
Filed under: uncultured bacterium
Lineage: Bacteria
Description: partial 16S ribosomal RNA
Rfam family: Bacterial small subunit ribosomal RNA
Source: RNAcentral